UGGGGAAUCUUGCACAAUGGGCGAAAGCCUGAUGCAGCAACGCCGCGUGCGGGAAGAAGGCCCUAGGGUUGUAAACCGCUUUCAGUAGGGAAGAAAAUGACGGUACCUACAGAAGAAGGUGCGGCCAACUACGUGCCAGCAGCCGCGGUGACACGUAGGCACCAAGCGUUAUCCGGAUUUAUUGGGCGUAAAGAGCUCGUAGGCGGUUCGGUAAGUCGGGUGUGAAAACUCUGGGCUCAACCCAGAGAGGCCACCCGAUACUGCUGUGACUAGAGUGCGGUAGGGGAGCGGGGAAUUCCUGGUGUAGCGGUGAAAUGCGCAGAUAUCAGGAGGAACACCGGCGGCGAAGGCGCCGCUCUGGGCCGUAACUGACGCUGAGGAGCGAAAGCAUGGGUAGCAAACAGGAUUAGAUACCCUGGUAGUCCAUGCCGUAAACGUUGGGCACUAGGUGUGGGUCUCAACCAACGAGAUCCGCGCCGUCGCUAACGCAUUAAGUGCCCCGCCG
RNAcentral lists this ribosomal RNA (505 nucleotides) under uncultured Actinomycetes bacterium. Its description in RNAcentral is "bacterial SSU rRNA". It matches the Rfam family "Bacterial small subunit ribosomal RNA", at positions 355 to 873 of the family's 1533-position model. Lineage: Bacteria; Bacillati; Actinomycetota; Actinomycetes. The record is from RNAcentral.